RNAcentral lists this transfer RNA (85 nucleotides) under Nitrospirae bacterium GWC2_42_7. RNAcentral's name for it is "tRNA-Tyr". It matches the Rfam family "tRNA". Rfam says of the family: Transfer RNA (tRNA) molecules are approximately 80 nucleotides in length. Their secondary structure includes four short double-helical elements and three loops (D, anti-codon, and T loops). Lineage: Bacteria; Pseudomonadati; Nitrospirota. RNAcentral also lists the same sequence under 7 other names. The record is from RNAcentral.
GGAGAGGUACCCGAGUGGCCAAAGGGGACGGGCUGUAAACCCGUUGGCGUAGCCUACGGAGGUUCAAAUCCUCCCCUCUCCACCA